CAGACAAGAAAGUAAAAUUUGUGCAAUUGAUAAAACUAGGUGUACUAAUCUUUCAACUUUUUAUGAAGACUAGAUACACAGACACCGGUAAAAGAGAUUCUCUCUGUCAGAAAAGAAAGUAAACUCUAGCUUACAGUCUUACACCGACUUCUUAAAGGUGCUCAACGGUCAGUCAGUCUUCUCUCUCAUUGACCAAGUCCAAAAGGAUAUUCAACAACUCCACACUUUAUAUUUAAAGUGGACACUGUAUCUGUUUUUCUAGGUGUUUUAACAUAUUUUUUGCCACAUUUCUUCGGUAUGCCCGUCUCAUCUUCAGAAGCAGGGUAAACUAACCCUUGCACUUUAAUGUGCAAUGGGCACGUCAACAGCCUCUUAUAGUUGAAUAUAGUUUUCUUUUGGUAUAAGGAAAUGAAUUAUUGUUCGUACAAAUUAAAAGUAUGAUCAGGAUGAAGACAGCAAGGUGCGCACACUUGAAGAUGAAGAUGAAGACGUUAAGGAUGUUUAUGUAGCUACGUUGUUACCAUUGUUCGUUUGUACUGUGUACAGCAUACAAAACAUGGCAGAGGCUCUCUCCUUGUGCAACAUUGUAAUAUUUUUUGUGAAGGUAUGUUUUUAUUUUCAGUCCUCAAGUUAAAAGAGGACUCUAAUUUCUAUUAGUAGCAUUUUUUAAUGGAGAAAUAAUGAUGAGUUUAACUAGUUUAUGAUCAAGGGAAAACAAGUUUUGAAGGGACCUGAAACCCUAUACAAAACAGGUUUGGGGGGCCCUGAAACCUGAACCUUAAGAUAAGCCUGAAAGUCCACUCAAUCAAACAGAACACGAGAGACAUGGCGACACCAGACAAAAGAUGGGGGGCAGCACAAGAAGGAAUCCCCAACAAGAACCAACUGGCUGUAACAAAGACCAGCAAGCAGCCCCAACCCAACCGGGACUGAUCAAGUAUUUGAUGUACACUUGUGAGAUCAAAGGGUCAUAUCAAAAGAGGCCCGGGACGAUUUAGAUUUCUUACUUUUAACGCUAAUCCAUCACUCCUCAACCCUAGCAGCAGUCCUUUGCAAGAAGACGGAUCCAAAAUAGAGGACCUCCACCACCAAGAGGAACAAAGGCAGCAUCAAGAGAGGCAGGGACAACAGAAAUCUGAGAAUCAGAAGGAUCAGACAAAGAUCCAGCAGAAAUCUGGGACAGACCAUUUUCAGCAGAAGAGACAGCAACAUCCUGAAUUCCAGCAAUUUUCACCGAGCCAUCCUUAGUGGCAUCCGAAGAAACAUUCUUCUCCAUAAAAGAAUCCGAACCAGCCUUCGAAAUCCUGGCAUCCACCGAUACAUUGGAAGAGUCCAAAGAUUUCAUAACAGAAUAAUGCUGGUAAGAGGCCCCCGACCACCAUGAGGCCACAAGAUAUUUCUUCUUGAGCCCACAAUUUCCAACUGCAUGGCCGGUUUUGAAGCAUUUCCGACACCUGAACGAAAUACCUUCGUAGUCCAAAGUUUGGACCCAGCUGCCAAAAGAGGAUUUGAUGGCAAUCUCAGCUGGAAGUCCCUUAGAUACAUCUAGAGUUUGACUAGUUUUGAGUAGUUAGAAUUAGUAUUUUCCAAUAUUUGGGGACUAUAAAUCAUAAGAAUUCAUGUUAUAGUAUUCCCUCCGGGUAACUGGGGAUCUCAUUGCUGCGGGGUUUCUGAUGCACUUAGAUUAGAGAAGUCUAAGCUUUAAUAUCUCAUAUUCCAUAAUAGAUCAGAAAUGAAGCCCAUUCCUGGCUCUUAUUCACUUUCAUUGUGUUGUCUAUAUUGUAGUGCCAUGAAGUAACAUAUGUACUCAAGUAUCAACAAAUCCAUUUAAUAUAAAAAUACAAGGGGUCAGUUA
Cryptomeria japonica (Japanese cedar) is the source of this 1855-nucleotide long non-coding RNA. RefSeq lists it as uncharacterized. The record is from RefSeq and is a predicted model, not a curated record. NCBI's taxonomy places the organism in Eukaryota, Viridiplantae, Streptophyta, Pinopsida, Cupressales, Cupressaceae. The transcript has 2 exons.